AAAAGGAAACCCUUCAUGUGUGGAGUAGAAAUAGAUAGAGUGCCCAUCAAAGGGAAGCAAUAUUAUAUAAUGGAGCUAUGAAAGCGAGAGAUAAUGUAGUGAGAGAACAACAAAAUGAAAAAGGUUGGUAAAAGAAAGAUGAGAAAUAAAGAGGACAUGAAAAGAGUUCGGCUGCAUAGUAGGGGAUACCACAUCGGUAGAUCAAAGAGGAAGAAAGUAAAGAUAUUAAAAAGUAAAGCAUGGGAAAUUGCAUGUGACAAUUUUUAAAAAGAAACUAGUGGAAGAAAGUGAGGUGCUAGGAUUGGAAAAAAAAAAAGAAAAAAAAAGGAGAGAAUAAUGUUGUGAUUGAAGGAAAAUAAUGACAAAGGAAGGUGUCUAUGAGGAAAUAGACAGACAGAGAAAGGGAUGUAUAUUGGAAAGAGGCCAAAGGUAGAAAGAAAUAAGCAUAAGGGUAAAAGGGAAGGAGAUAGAAAAAUAAAUAAUAAACACCCAACGGGAAAGGCUAGAGUGACAGAGAUGAAGCGAUGACGUGGGGAAAGAACACAACAAACACCAGCCAUUGGGCAUAGACAAACAAAAGAGAUAAACUUAAAUAAAAGAGAGCUAAAUAGAGCAAAGAGAGAACCAUAGAAAGGGUGCUCAAAACUGAGAAGCGGAAAGGCAACUCAAGAGAGCAGCCUACAGAGAUUGGCAAAACAGUCAAAGGAAAGGCUCUGCGAGCGGUGACGAGGCUCGAGGAGGAAAGCAACGGCUUGGUGAGCCGUGACGAGGCUCAUGGAGGAAAGCAACGGCUCGGUGAGCGGUGACGAGGCUCACGGAGUAAAGAGACUUGUUAUGAAGCUUUAAAGAUAGAGAAGCUGAGACAUCAAGAAAGACCAUCUGGCAUACAAAGAUGACAAAAUAAAAUUUUUGGAAUAGUAGCAAAGAAGCAUGUGAAGGCUAGGUGCGGUGAAAACACAUAUGAGAGGAUGAACAAAAGAUGGUGACUAUACAAGCUGAAGACCUAUGAUGGGUUAGGAAUGAGGAGUGCCAACGACUCUCAAUUUGGCAGAGGUUAUCACAAGUUAGGAACCUGACUCUGAUACCAUGUCAAACAAAGUAGGGAAAAUAUUUAGAUAUGCUCCGAGAUAUGCUCUUUUUUUUUUUUUUUUUUGGGUGUGCUAAGAUACGCUCAUAUUAUUAUUCUUCUCCAAUAUGAAGGUAUUUAUAC
Molecule: long non-coding RNA, 1210 nt
Filed under: Prunus persica (peach)
Lineage: Eukaryota; Viridiplantae; Streptophyta; Magnoliopsida; Rosales; Rosaceae
Description: long non-coding RNA (PPER_LNC005813)
Source: RNAcentral